This is a long non-coding RNA of Gallus gallus (chicken), 5502 nucleotides long. The record is from Ensembl. Lineage: Eukaryota; Metazoa; Chordata; Aves; Galliformes; Phasianidae.
CUGGGAAGACAUUUGCCUUUUAUUGUCUCCUCGGACAGGCUUAGCAUUUAAAGGCUUUUAUCUCCUUUUUACGGCUUUUAGGGUGGGCUCCAAGCCAACAGGUACUUUGUGUCCUUGCUCUGUGUUAAAUUGCAUCAUGCAAAAAUGAGGCUUGGGAACAAAUCAUGAGCUGAGAGAACGGUUCCUUCGGUGGAAGCAGAAAGCCGCAGUAGAGCCCAGAGCCACACUGUGCAGCUGCAGCAGGAGCAGUGGGCAGCGAUGUGGCAGGGGACACACAGCCACCAGAUCUGAGGAUGCAGGGCCAGGGUCUCCCCAGCUUCCCCCACGGAUGGGGCAGCAGUGAGGGGUGUCCGUAGAAGCAAGGGGAGUCCAUAGCAAUGAAGGAUAACCAGCAGCAAGGGGUGUCCAUAGCAGCAAGGGAUGCCUGCAGCAGAUUUGCCCAGCUGGCCAGAGUGCAGCCCCUUUGAGGGGUGAGCAUUGCACUGCAAUGACCCACAGCUUCAGGACAGGCUGUUCGUGACACGGGGCUGUUAGCUCCAUAGCAGGCAUUGAAUUGAAUGCGCUUUUUGUGAUGCUUCCUGCUGACACCAGGCACAGGCUCUCAGGAUGACACGGCUCUGCUCUCCCACCCAGCGCCCCGCCGCUCACCCCAUAUCUGCCCUGUGACAUGCCCUGCCCUCACCUGCCCCUGGGACUUCUCUCCACUGCGGAUUACAGUGCUGCAGACAGAGCUGGACGUGCAGUGGUGGCACAUAGCAGUGAUGUGGUCAGCCCGUUAGGAAGAGAACAGUCUGAAGUCAGGAGGAACAGCAUGAAACGCAUCCUCUGGAAGGCUGACAGCCCACUUCAGUGCUAUCCAGCCACCCUGGCCUCUCCCGUGGGGCUGGGAGCCCUGCAGGAACACAGGGUUGCAAGCACUGCUGGGCACUCACAGAGGUUAAAACCGCAGCCGCUGCCUUCCCAGAGCCCACCCCAUGCUGGCAGCAUCAGCACCGUAUCUCCCAGCACCGCCCAGGCUGGGGCAGGUAUCAUCUGGAGGGGGGGGCAGGGGGAUGCAGAGCCUCUGCCCCUCUGUGGGUACCCCCGCAUGCAGCCGGGGGCACGGGGACGGCCUGCGGAGGGCAGCGGCAAACGGAGGGUUAACGGCAUCCUUCCCACCCAGCGUCCGCUGUGUGCCAGUCCUCCAGCCAUGUGUUUGAAAUCCUUUCUGCUAUCUCCUGAAAAUAUUUACAGUACAUGCAGAUAAAUUAGCUGCAGCGCUUAUUACGUCUCCCUGGAAAUAUAUACAGCAGUUAAAGAUGUUUAAAAAAAUAGCCGAAAGCCGUCUCUUUACUAUAUCUGGAAGAUAUUUCACAGCGAGGGGAAUUUACAGGGCCGGGUGGCAGGGAAAUCGCAUUUAUUUUCACUCGAGUAGAGAAAGUUAAAGGACCCUUCAGCUGAGUUUAUUUUCAUCUCUGCUCGCAAGACGAGGGCCAAGCAGUGCUCGGGGAGGAGCUCAGCCCCACGGCUCAGGGCACGGGCUGAGCCUGCUUGCUCCCCAGCAACACAGCCCUUACGCUUCCCCGCAGCCCUCACAGCUCCCGUUUGCUAUCCCAUGCCCAGGCUGCAGGCCCGCUCCUCCAGAAGUCCCCUGCAAUAGGGUGCAAGGUUGUUGGGGAAUGCAUCUCCGCCCCGAGCAGCACCCGUGGCCCCGCUGCCUGGAGGUCACUGAAGCCCUGGCGAUGGAAUCCGUGGCUCUCAGCCCUUCUCUUUGCACUGCUUCCCCAGCUGAGCCACCUGCCAGCGGGGCAGUGGAGGCCCAGCUUCUUAACGCACCCUCCGGCUUGAGGGCGCUGACCAGAUGUCGAGUGACAGCAUCUCCUGGGCCACUGGCAUGGAGCUGCUGGCCUUGACGUAAAAGGCUUUGGGAAGCCAUUUGCUAAUUCCCCUGAGUCACCCGCUCCCUCCGGCUGUUUUGAAAUUCAUAUCUAAUGAGUGGUUUGGGUGAAGGAAUUCUGCAAAGAUGCAAACAAUCCCUUUGCCAAAAUAAAGAGAGCCAGAGCUGGGCUUAUAAACAUAUAAAUCAUUUCUAGUUUUUAGUUUGCAAACAAGAUACUUGUUUCUUCAUGAGCAUUUUGGGGAGAGCAGGGAGAAAGUGCUGGGCCAGGGGGCAGUGGGCAGUGACCAUAAGCAGAUAGCAGCGGCCCCAGAGCCAUCCCUGCCUCCCCCCAGGCCGGGCACUGCACCACUGCACUCCUGAGGUCUCCACGGGAAGGAGUCCUCAAGCAGUGACCUGCAACAAAGUGACUUGUCCAACAGCUGGUGUUGGUGGUUGGUGUUGGUGGUGCUCCAGGCUGGGCAGAGCAGCAAGGUCCCUGCCCUGCAGGCAGGAAGGUGCCAGCCGGGCCAGCAGGCACCGGAAAGUGGUGGCAGUGCUGGCAGGGAGGUGAGUGAUGCCAACCAGCAUCAUACAGCCCUACGGUUGGGCUCCGAACCAUCGUGAGCACUCUGGCAGCCUUCUCUCCAGCAUCUGUUGGCCAUUUCCUUUCAUUGCUGGGUGCCUAUCACUGCCAAGGAGCUGCCCGGCAGCCCCGGCUCCUGCUCCUGCCAGCAUCUCUGUGCCCGUGGCAGUGAUGGGGACAGGGAGUAGAGCACGGGGGGCAGCAGCAGAGGGGCCACACUCACAGUGUCCCUUCCUGCAGCACCCUGGGUUUGGGCAGUUUGCACUGCCAGUGUCCAUCAGCGCAGAGCAUGGCUUCACCGCAGGGCUGGUUAAACUCUCUGCUUCAUUAUACAUGUGUGAUUGAGGCUGGUUUGUUGAGGGACAAGAGAAAAAAAGCUGUGGGGCACUCAAAAUGACAUCGGACACAACACAGCAGAAGGGAGCUCACCUGUCUGCAGGCUGCCUCAGGCCAAUCACUUGGGAAGCCACGGCUUCCAUCAGGUCCUAUGGGCUCAGCAAGCACAGCCGCAGCCACGCCAUGCAGCCAUGAAGAUUGAUCUGGGAAGCCAGCACUGCCAUGCUGCUGUGGGAGCCGAGCAAAGAGCAGCACCGGGGAAGAAGCACCAGCAUCCCCAGAUGUCCCCUGGUGCCACCUGGGUGGGAAAUGCAGGGGGGGACCUGCACCUCCGAGCAGGGCCCACUUCCACGGCCAGUGUGUGCUAAGUGCAUUUUUUCCCAAAUAAAGUGUUCUGACUUGGUCAAAUUUGAGUAUAUUCCAGGGACACGAGACAAAUCUCAGCCUCUCUCCCUUCCCUACUUGCCAAAUUUCAAGCUCCUGCUUCAAAAGGCAGAAUUUUAAAACAAAAUAAGGACAAAUGCUUUAUCUCCUUGUACCCUCGCUCUUGGAAACAGCCUGGCUCUCUGGAUGAGACUUUCCCCCCCCCCAAAUUUAAUAAGAAGCCGCAACCCACCCUGAAAUAUUACCACCCAGCCUGGAAUGGUUUGGCAAAGCUGCCAGCAGCCGAAGGCAGCAUUUGACACCAGGGAGCACCAAGCGUCCUUAAAACUCGGGGGCAUCUCCAGCUCCCACCGCGAGCACAUGGAGCCUGUCUGCAGCGCGCUCACAGCGCACUCACUUUAUUUAUAGGAUGCUGUGUAUGCGCCUCGUCCUUCCAGGGGCUCUUUCUCCUUUUUUUUUUUUUUUUUUUGGCUUGCGGAAGCCGGGCAGAUAACUAAAGCUGUUCCUCACUUUCACAGCAGAUAAGCUAAUUGUCGGAUGUGCCCUUUGAGAUAAGCGGAUCCCGGGUUUACGAGGGAACAUGUGUUCUGGGGAAGCGCCGUCACCGAGCCCUGAUGCAGGCGAUAACCCACGGGCGUGCAGACUCCCUCCCUGGGAAGCACGGGGCCCUGCUUCCAUCCUACCCGUGGCCAUGGCACUUGGGCUGCCUGCCGUGGGCUGCAGGAGCAGCGCUGCGGUACCUUUUGGGGAGGUUCCCGUACCUCCCAGCUCUGCCACUCCUGAGCGAGGAGAUGCCUUGGUACAGACCCUGCAGGUUGUCUGGUCAGUCCAGGAGGCGCUCGAAGUGUGUGCCGAGCCAUCCUCCUGUGCACCGUGGCUCAUCUCUGCCUGGUGGGAGGUGGGAGAAUAGAGCCCCGAAAAGUUUAUAGUCGGGCAAAGGCAGAGCACUGCAGCCCGACGCCUAUUGAAACCCAUGACAAAAACUCGGUGACUUUACGAGGGUCAGGCCAGGCCGGCGGUGCCAAUGACUCCCUGGUGGCACUGCUGGGUGGUUAGUUCACGCUGUGAAGCAGAGCCACAUGGGCCCAUCAGCAGUGUGGCAACAGUGCCCAGCUCUCAGUGCCAGGGAUGCUGUGUCCAGCCGCAGCAUCACCACCCACAGCCAUGCCCACAGGAGCUGCACACUUGGAGGCACCCCACGCCUUCCAUCCUAUCGUCCCUGUCCCCAUCAGCUCCCCAGGACACAGUGAGGCCACGCUCCCUCGCCCCCCAGUGGGAGAACCACCCUCCGCUGUCCCUUCCUUCCCUCCCCCCGAACAGCCAUCACUCACCAGGCUUUGAUUAUGGCCACAAAGGAGCCUUGGAGGAACCAUGGGGAAGCUGGAGGGAGGCAGGCAGAUGAUGAAAGAGCUGUCAAAUGGGAUUAAACAGUAACCGUCUCCCCUACCGCUGGGCAGUGGGAAGGGGGACAGAUUGUACUGGAUUGUAAUGCAUGAGCCCUCCUGCUGCUGGAGCCUGCCAGGCCCGUCCCCUGCAGGCUGCCGACUGGGCCCUGCUGUGGGCAGCGGGACAGCAGGAUCCGUCCCUGGGGCUGAGGAUGGAGAGCUGGGCCUGAGGGAGCGGGGUGGAGGAAGGGUCAGUGAGGAGCUGCUGGUGGAGCUGCUCUGGCCUUGGGUGGGCAAGGUGCAGGAUGCACAUCAGGGAUGCUCUCUCUCCUCAUGUCCUCCUGCAGGCACUGAGCACACCGGCAAUGGGCCCGCAGCACCGAGAGCAGGGCUGGGAUGUCACAGCGAGCAGAGCCAUCCCACGUGCAGCCCUCACUCUGAUCGUCCCACGUGCAUCUUGGCCUUCCCAGGGGUGAGCAGCACAGCGGUUCCAGCACCUGGCACACAGCUCCCUGUGCAUCACAGUGCCACCAGCCCUGGACUCUGUGCUGGUUCCUCAGUCCCUCUGUAGGAGCAGACGCAUUCACACAUCAGGGGCUGCAGCAAUGGGGGACAUUGGCACAGACCACACCGUCCCGGCACAGGAGCUCAUCAGCACUCCUACAAGCCUUGGACAGGGAACCCUCCACCAAAACCACCCCAACCUCACUCUUGCGCCUUCCCAUGCAGCUCCACCAUCCCCCCUGGAGCCAUGUCUCAACGCAUUAAGUGACACAGAAGGGCGGCCCCUCCCCGGUGGCCACACAGAGCCAGCGGUGGAGGUGCAGGGUGAGCAGGGAGGGCCGGGUCCCCACGGGCGGGGGGCACAGAGCACCCCUACCCCAGCACCACCACCCUGAGCUUCCCCGAGGCACAGAGAGAGGCCGCGCACAGCCCCUGCCCCCCACCGCCCCCCG